Molecule: non-coding RNA, 30 nt
Filed under: Rattus norvegicus (Norway rat)
Lineage: Eukaryota; Metazoa; Chordata; Mammalia; Rodentia; Muridae
Source: RNAcentral
UGCUUUUUUUCCUGACAGGCACAGAAACCC